Molecule: transfer RNA, 72 nt
Filed under: Endomicrobium sp.
Lineage: Bacteria; Pseudomonadati; Elusimicrobiota; Endomicrobiia; Endomicrobiales; Endomicrobiaceae
Description: tRNA-Cys
Rfam family: tRNA
About the family: Transfer RNA (tRNA) molecules are approximately 80 nucleotides in length.
Source: RNAcentral
GGUGCGAUACCCAAAUGGUAAGGGAGCAGUCUGCAAAACUGUUAUUCGCCGGUUCGAUUCCGGCUCGCACCU